UACACUCCUGCGGGAGGCAGCAGUGGGGAAUUUUGGACAAUGGGCGAAAGCCUGAUCCAGCAAUGCCGCGUGAGUGAAGAAGGCCUUCGGGUUGUAAAGCUCUUUUGUCAGGGAAGAAACGGUGAAAGCUAAUAUCUUUUGCUAAUGACGGUACCUGAAGAAUAAGCACCGGCUAACUACGUGCCAGCAGCCGCGGUAAUACGUAGGGUGCAAGCGUUAAUCGGAAUUACUGGGCGUAAAGCGUGCGCAGGCGGUUUUGUAAGUCUGAUGUGAAAUCCCCGGGCUCAACCUGGGAAUUGCAUUGGAGACUGCAAGGCUAGAAUCUGGCAGAGGGGGGUAGAAUUCCACGUGUAGUAGUGAAAUGCGUAGAUAUGUGGAGGAACACCGAUGGCGAAGGCAGCCCCCUGGGUCAAGAUUGACGCUCAUGCACGAAAGCGUGGGGAGCAAACAGGAUUAGAAACCCGGGUAGUCCCAUG
RNAcentral lists this ribosomal RNA (476 nucleotides) under uncultured organism. Its description in RNAcentral is "partial 16S ribosomal RNA". It matches the Rfam family "Bacterial small subunit ribosomal RNA", at positions 332 to 799 of the family's 1533-position model. The record is from RNAcentral.